This 63-nucleotide non-coding RNA is filed under the name Lessardia elongata. Lineage: Eukaryota; Dinophyceae; Peridiniales; Podolampadaceae. The record is from RNAcentral.
UUUUUUUUUUUUUUUUUUUUUUUCUCUCUAACCACAUCGUCGCCCGGGAAUCCUACACAAACU